RNAcentral lists this ribosomal RNA (433 nucleotides) under uncultured bacterium. Its description in RNAcentral is "partial 16S ribosomal RNA". It matches the Rfam family "Bacterial small subunit ribosomal RNA", at positions 29 to 507 of the family's 1533-position model. The record is from RNAcentral.
AGCGAACGCUGGCGGCAGGCCUAACAACUGCAAUUCGAACGAACUCUUCGGAGUUAGUGGCGGACGGGGGAGUCACACGGGGGAACGUGCCUUUUGGUUCGGCAUCACUCCGGGACAUUUGCGCUAAUCACGCAUGUGCCCUUCGGGGGAAAGAUGUAUCGCUAUUAGAGCGGCCCGCGUCUGAUUAGCUAGCUGGUGAGGUACCGGCUCACCAAGGCGACGAUCAGUAGCUGGUCUGAGAGGAUGACCAGCCACACUGGGACUGAGACACGGCCCAGACUACGACGGGAGGCAGCAGGGGGGAAUCUUGCGCAAUGGGCGAAAGCCUGACGCAGCCAUGCCGCGUGAAUGAUGAAGGUCUGAGGAUUGUAAAAUUCUUUCACCGGGGACGAUAAUGACGGUACCCGGAGAAGAAGCCCCGGCUAACUUCGUG